Molecule: non-coding RNA, 87 nt
Organism: Gossypium raimondii (Peruvian cotton)
Lineage: Eukaryota; Viridiplantae; Streptophyta; Magnoliopsida; Malvales; Malvaceae
Source: Rfam
CACGUCAGCGCGAUGUGCUGACUCAGCAGGAAAUCGCUUCCUCUAGGACGCGAUUUCCUGCUGAGUCAGCACAUCGCGUUGACGUGG